RNAcentral lists this long non-coding RNA (572 nucleotides) under Homo sapiens (human). Its description in RNAcentral is "HSALNT0065981". Lineage: Eukaryota; Metazoa; Chordata; Mammalia; Primates; Hominidae. The record is from RNAcentral.
CAGGGCAAGGAAUGCCUGCAGCCCAGGAUUCCUCCUAAGCUGUGUCCCAUCUGUGCCGGACCCCACUGGAAAUCAGACUGUUCAACUCACCUGGCAGCCACUCCCAGAGCUCCUGGAACUCUGGCCCAAGGCUCUCUGACUGCUUCCCAGAUCUUCUUGGCUUAGCAGCUGAAGACUGACACUGCCCGAUCGCCUCGGAAGCCCCCUAGACCAUCACGGACGCUGAGCUUCAGGUAACUCUCACAGUGGAGGGUACACAUCCAGAUGGCCGGUUCCUGCCUUAACUGCUGACAUUCCACCACAAAAGAAGUGAAAAUGGCCUGUUCCUGCCUUAACUGAUGACAGAUUGUCUUGUGAAAUUCCUUCUCCUGGCUCAUCCUGGCUCAAAAGCUCCCCCACUGAGUACCUUGUGACCCCCACUCUGCCCACCAGAGAACAAUCCCCUUUCGACUGUAAUUUUCCUUUACCUACUGAAAUCCUAUAAAAUAGCCCCACCCCUAUCUCCCUUCGCUGACUCUCUUUUCGGGCUCAGCCCGCCUGCACCCAGGUGAAAUAAACAGCUUUAUUGCUCA